AUUCUCACUCUAUUAUCCAGGUUGGAGUGCAAUGGCACAAUCUCAGCUCACUGAAACCUCUGCCUCCCGGCUUCCAGCGAUUCUCAUGCCUCAGCCUCCCGAGUAGCUGGUACUACAGAUGCCUGUCAACAUGCCCCCCUAAUUUUUUUUUUUUUAGGAGAGACAGGGUUUUGCCAUGUUGGCCAGGCUGGUCUGGAACUCCCAGCCUCAUGUGAUCCGCCCAAAGUGCUGGAAUUACAGGUGUGAGCCACCACACCCAGCCAAUGUCUCUACAUCCAUCUCUUUGAUUUUACUCUUGACCAGUAUUUCUCAAACGUCCUUUUACUUGAAGAAAAAAAAUUUAUGACUUCAAUCCUUCUAAGUCACUUUUUGAAUCACACAGCUUCUUAUAUAUUUACAAAUAUAAAAGCAGGAAUGAAUCCAUAUGCUACAGAUAUUGGUGAGUUGCAGUUGUGGUCUCUGAAAGGUGGUAUCCAUGUAGUCACAUUUUUCAAAAUAAAUAAAAGAUCUGCUGAGUUUGAUGAGGUUUAAAAAGGUAUGAGUCCUAUCCAGGACUAUGAUUUAGUCCUCACACAUAGUCUACUAGCCCUUAUAACCUUUUAAAAAAUGUAUGAUUAAUAAAACAUUUUUCAUUGACUUAUUCCUGGAGCUUUGCUUCCAUUGAGACCACCUGGGGCUUGGAGCACCCAGAUUCUCUAGUGAGCUGAUCUGAAUGCUAUGCCUUCAAAUUGCCUACCUGAAGCCUCCACCCCUUCCUCAACUAAAGGAUGAAAAUCGAAGCCAGAAGUUCAAAAUACACCUCUGAUUUUGAAGAGGCUGUUGGGAUUCUUAAAUAACAACAAAAAGUAGUUUGGUGCUCUUCUCUGCACAUGCUACAGUAAGCCUUUAGGGGAAUGUUCUGAGAGUGAUUACUGUCGUGGUAAGCAAUGGUUUUUGUAGGUGCUGGUUUGUGGGGUGAUUACUUGGGCUUAAUCUCUUUCUCAUGGGUAAAUGUGAAGCCUCUCCAGUUCACAUUUGUUAUUCAGGCAGAAAUCAACUGAAAUUUGUCUAUAAGAAGAUAUUGGGCUGGCCCCUGUUUUGCCUCUUAGCGCCCUUCCUUACCUAUCCUACAUGCAAGCUCCCCACUGGGAAAGGGCAGCUUCCUCCAUGGGAUCUGUCUUGUAUCUUGUCUCCAUAUUGUUGCUGGGAAACCUCUUCUUGAAGUCAAGUGAUAAAGUUGCACUUCUGUUUCCAAUGGCGCCCGUCCAGCCCGAAGUGAGACUGGCUGCUUUGUGAGAGCUUCUCAACUGGGUCGCCAAGCACAGUAGUGCAGCUGGAAAGUGUUUUCUCACUGUUGUGCCCCAAGACUGCGGUUAGUUUCAAAUUCCUAUGAAUGUGACUAAAAAAUGUUUGUGUUUUAGCCACAAUCACUAACAAAUUACACUCAGCUAUUCAACGCACAGACCAAAAGAGAGCCUGACCCCAUUAUCAAAACUCAAACCCAGAUGGUGAGGAGUCCCAGCCUAAUGAGGGCCUCUCAGUCAUUUCAAACAAAUUUCUUGUCAAUCAUGCCACAUUGCAUAUGGGGGUCUUCUUUCAAAGACAUCCAAGUUUGAGGACUCAGAGGCUUUCCACGGCUAAGCAAUGCCUUCCUCCUAAAAUUACUCAUUUUUCAAGAGCUUUGAGAAAAUCCUCUUCUCUCCUUUUCCUCCCUUCCUUCCCUAAAAAGAAAAAAAAAAAUCUAUCCUGUCUACACUAGACAACUUUAUCAGACUCAAAUAUCAAAAUUGGAGCAGCCAGAAAGUCUGAACUACAUUCUUGGCUCACUCAUCAGGGAAAGAAAAAAACAAAAUGAACUCAGAAGAAAAAGAAAGACAAUAUCAAAAAGCUUUAUUGAAUAGUCUUCUGAAUGUAAAAUAAAUUUACCAGAAACUGUAAUUCCAGGAUCCAAUGCUCACUUUGAUUGCAAUAAAGAGUUAGAAAGAAAACCACACUGUUGUCUGGAACUUGACAAAGGUACAAAGAGAAUCCCCUGUUUUUCCAUCUUUCUAGAUGAGAUGCAGAAUUUUGCCCUCUGCCCAAAAGGCUUUGGCCUUACAGGUCUGUCUUGACCCUGUGUUUGCUCCUGUUCCAUUUGGUUCUUUCCUUACUCUCAGUGAAUCAAAGCCUGACCUCUCCUUGGCUUUUUCUCCUUUCUCAAUACUCCAUGCACGCUUCUCUGACUAUGAAGUGUCGCCCCUGAUGUUCUCUCUGGCAUCUCUUGCAGGCUGCCAUGCUUAGUGGUAAAUUCCCUCCCCUGGAGAGGCAGUCACAGCUGUGUGUCCUACGAAAGGACUGAGCUGCUUGCUGCGUGCAAAGUAGAAGAAAACCAGUGUAAAUCGCAGUCCUAAUUGCCCAUAUGGGAGAUUUGCAAAGAAGGAAGUGAGUACAAUGAAAGAGCAGGGCAAGUCGUAAGCAGAAGGCUGAGACCGGAGUGCUGAGGGAAAAGCAGCCACCAUAUCAAGAAGUUCAGAAAUUGUUUCUGCUACUGCUGCUGAGGAUUCAAAGAGGGUUUUAGAAUAAAACAAAGUCCGCUGGUGUGAGGACUGAACUCCAUUUUCUGUGUGAGUCUGAGUAAAGAGAAAGAUAAACAGAACCUUUCACCGAUAGGCAUAUUUUAGAGUUCAAGUGUGACAUGAUGUGUCCAAAAUAGAUUCCACAUGAUUGGAGCAGAUCCAGAAUCCCAGUCCCUGAAUAGCAAUCAGUGUUGGAAGCUAAGAGCCGGCAUCCACUAUCAUCACAUGAAACAUGGAAGAAACGGCAAAUCCUAUACAGCUGUUAGUGAGUAAGGACAAGCCAUACAUGGAGCUGUAUGCUAUGGGCACAUUUUCUUAAAUUACACAGCUUAUUUUAAAUUGAGGGUCUAUUUGACUUUUUACAUGUCUUUUAAUGAAUACCCAGACUUUACAAAACUUUCUUUUCAUGAAUUUUCCUUUCAAAGAAGGAGAGUUAUGCUCUUUGCAAUAUUCAAUCCAGGCAGAACUAAUGACCCAAGGGCUUCAUGCUAGUUUAUUUUCAUAAAAAGCUCCCCUUAAUUUGAAAUCACAUAGGGUUCCAAGAAUCUCAGAAGACAGAGGCCAAAAGUCCAGGGCCCUAUAUGACUUCGUCAUGAAGAAGGCUGAGAGAUGGUGGGAAGCUUCACUUUCAGGACCAGGUAGACUGUCCUAUGUGGUCUGUCACUCUCUGACAAUUUUCAAAUAGGAGAAGAGGGGAGGAAAAAUUGAAGAAGAAAGGAGGCAGGGAGUGAGAAAAAGAAGAGGAAAGAGAAAAUGAGGCACUAGAAGAGAGAUGAGGUUCAUGGGACUCAGACAUUUUCUCUUCUAUUUAAGGACAACUAUUUUCCUUUAAAAUAGUCACCAGAAGGCCUUCAAGAUCAGUCCCUCCCAUGUGGCUAAUGUUUAGAACAUUUAAGAAAUCUUUAAAACUUUUAUAAUUUGAGAGGGUCAGUUGUAGGUCAUUUUCCAGCACACACACACACACACACACACACACACACACACACACACAAAUCUAAAGGGCUCUUGUUGCUAAAUGCAUGUUUGUGAGAGAUUGUCAAUCAAUGAACGAUCCCUUGUGCCAUGUUUUUUGGAGCCAUACUACUAUCAAAGUAAGAAAAGUAGCAAUAAAUGAAGAAUCAAGCACUUAUGGAGAAAUGGCUGGUACAGCCAUGUGCUACAACUGUACUCAUACUGGCUAGGAAGUCAGCAUCUGACCUCAAACCAAAAUGAUAGGAAUUAGACAACUGGAUCUUUCCUUUUGUGUUAACUUUCCCUUCAUUACUUCAGUGUCCCCAUAUGUAUUUGAAAUUCUGUGACUGCUACUUUAGCACAUCAUGGACUGUUUGUGUUUACAGAUAUUUCUCUUUGGUUAUACAAUUGCCCCUUAAACAACACAGGUUUGAACCAUGCCAGUCCACUUAUAUUGUUUGUUUGUUAUUUUUCAACCAAAUGCUAGAUGGAAAAGAUACAGUAUUCAUGAAACCUGCCUAUGUAGAUGCAAGUUCCACAGGGCUGACUGUGGGACUUGAGCAUGCACAGAUUUCGAUAUACAAGGGCAGUCCUGGAAGGAAUCCCCCAUGUAUACUGAGGGACCACUUUAUUAACCUCAAUUGUCCUUUAGUAUCUUAAAAAUAGAUCAAAGCAGAGGUUGGCAGUUUAGAAUGUCUACAGGUUAUUACUAAAAUAGAGUGAAAAAUAGAGGGAAAAAAUGACAAGGCUCCUUCUCUCUUCAUAUGAUGGUAUGAAUGAUGCAAAUCUUAACAACACAAAGAAAGAGUCCUUCCAGAAAGAUUUCUGAUGACUUUGGAGCUUUACUUUUUUCAUUAUACUUUGCAGUGCCUGCAAGUACUAUAAGAUAUUUGUUUAAAGAGAGGCUUGUGAUGGCCUGCUAGAGUUUAAUUACUAAGGUUACAAACAAAUAAAGCUUUAGUGUAUUGUAAAGCAUCGAUUCAUGGUUUUCACAAAUACCAUGAAAUUACAUAAUCAGAAAGCUUAGAGCCCAAAGCAACCUUUAAGGAUCACCUGGUCUUGUCUCAUAGCUUCAGAGAAAUCAGGUAUUAUUUAUGUUUGGUAGAUAAAGCACCUGAACUUCAAAAAGGCAUAGCGUCUUGCUCAAUCUCACCCAGUUAGUUUAGGGAAUUUGACCUCUUCUCUUUUGCUGCUAAUACAAUUCUUUGUAUGGAAUGAAAGUCCAGCCAACCUUAAAUCCAUAGAGAUAGAAAACAUAUUAGCAGUGUGCAGAGGUGAGAAAACUGUUCCAGAACUAGAUACUGGUGGUAGUUGCCUAACAUUUGGAAUGUACUAAAUGCUGCUCAACUGUUCACUUCAAAUGGUUAAAAUGGUGAUUUUAUGUGAAUUUUACCUUAAUUAAAAAACAAAAUCAAGAAUAACGUAUUGCUGUUCACCGUUCAUCUUUCUGUCUCCUCUACUUCCUGUCAAGUUCUCUGAGUUCAAGAACUGUGCCUUAUGUCACUUUGGCCCUCUAACACCUGGCACCAUGUUUGAGAAAGUCUGCUGGACCUCUUCCCCCAAAAUCCAACCAGCCACAAUAAUAAGUAUCCUCACACAUAGCAAAACCCUUUUUAUUGCUGAGUUUAUGACAUUGCCAUAAUUUUUUGUCCAGUUUGCCUUACUCCACUGUUGAGUCAGAUAAGAUUAUCUGAGACCUGACUGGAGUUAGCUCACCUCCAAGAGCGUAAAUAAAAGAACAUAUGGUUCGUUGAUAGGACCAGCAGUGCCAAGGAUAGUGGCCUGCAUGAAGUAGAUUCUUAUUAAAUAUUUGUCUUAGGGGUGAGGGAUGAAUCCCCUGGGAUCACCAGGAGCUAGAAAGGGAUAUUUUUUCACAAGAGUACAACCCAGUUUAGGUCCAUGAAAACAUCAGGUUUGAAGGUCCUAUCCCUGUUAGGUCAUUUAGACCCCUGCUCAUGAGGUAGCCCACAGGCACUAUACCAGUCCCAUAACCACUAACACUUACCAGAGAAAUAAGGUUGCCAAAGCUCAGUCCUAUAUAUUAAUACCAUCUCAGACAGUGGAGAAAGACAUGCAUUUGUUGUUUCAAUAUAUAUCUGUUCCUCACUAUCAAUGUUAAUCUUCUCAUGAAAACUGUCUCCAAAUGGAAAGCUAUUAAUUCAAAAGAAAAAAAGUACUAAUUGCAAUGGAAAAAGAUAUAAAUGGAAUAAUACAGUAUGUGUCCUUCUGUGAGGGCUUAUUUCUCUCAGCAUAAUACCCUCAAGAUUCAUGAUGUUGUCAAAUAUCGCAGAACUUUCUUCUUUUCAAAG
Molecule: long non-coding RNA, 5794 nt
Filed under: Homo sapiens (human)
Lineage: Eukaryota; Metazoa; Chordata; Mammalia; Primates; Hominidae
Description: HSALNT0146842
Source: RNAcentral